This 279-nucleotide ribosomal RNA is filed under the name uncultured bacterium. Its description in RNAcentral is "partial 16S ribosomal RNA". It matches the Rfam family "Bacterial small subunit ribosomal RNA", at positions 506 to 784 of the family's 1533-position model. The record is from RNAcentral.
UGCCAGCCGCCGCGGUAAUACGGAGGGUGCAAGCGUUGCUCGGAAUCACUGGGCGUAAAGCGAACGCAGGCGGACUAACAAGUCGGGUGUGAAAGCCCGGGGCUCAACCCCGGAACUACAUUUGAAACUGUUAAUCUCGAGUAUGGGAGAGGGAAGCGGAAUUCCUGGUGUAGAGGUGAAAUUCGUAGAUAUCAGGAGGAACACCCGUGGCGAAAGCGGCUUCCUGGCCCAAUACUGACGCUCAUGUUCGAAAGCGUGGGGAGCAAACAGGAUUAGAUA